UACGUAGGGUGCAAGCGUUGUCCGGAAUUAUUGGGCGUAAAGAGCUCGUAGGCGGUCUGUCGCGUCGGCUGUGAAAACCCGGGGCUCAACCCCGGGCCUGCAGUGGGUACGGGCAGACUAGAGUGCGGUAGGGGAGACUGGAAUUCCUGGUGUAGCGGUGAAAUGCGCAGAUAUCAGGAGGAACACCGGUGGCGAAGGCGCCGCUCUGGGCCGACACUGACGCUGAGGAGCGAAAGCGUGGGUAGCAAACAGG
RNAcentral lists this ribosomal RNA (253 nucleotides) under uncultured bacterium. RNAcentral's name for it is "partial 16S ribosomal RNA". It matches the Rfam family "Bacterial small subunit ribosomal RNA", at positions 524 to 776 of the family's 1533-position model. The record is from RNAcentral.